Molecule: long non-coding RNA, 451 nt
Filed under: Mus musculus (house mouse)
Lineage: Eukaryota; Metazoa; Chordata; Mammalia; Rodentia; Muridae
Description: predicted gene, 47802
Source: RNAcentral
AAAGCAAUGUACUCUUUAUUACAUCUUCUCCACAUCUGGGGCACUGUUUUCUUCCUUUAGCCACAGGAGGCAGAGCUGCUAUUGGCUUCCUGCCUGUUUCCUAGUCCUUCCCUCUCAGGCAGCCUCCUCAUCUUCAUAUAUGGGGACAACAUUAAGAAUGCAUGAGGUUAAAGGCGCACACCUUUAAUUCCAGCACUCGGGAGGCAGAGGCAGAAGGGGGUGGAGCACCACAAGCUCAAGGGCUGGGUGGGCCUCAAAGUUAAAAGGCAGCCCAGGCAACCUGGAGAGACAGUGUCUCAAUAACUAAUCAAAAGUAACAUAUUCACAUCUACAGAAAAAACUAACAAAGUAACUUUUAAGAAUACAGAGAUAAUAAAUAUAAUUAUUACUACGUAACAACCAUGUGAAUAUAAUGGGAACUAAAUAGCAGAAAUGCUUAGUGAUGUCAUAC